This 460-nucleotide ribosomal RNA is filed under the name uncultured bacterium. RNAcentral's name for it is "bacterial SSU rRNA". It matches the Rfam family "Bacterial small subunit ribosomal RNA", at positions 56 to 507 of the family's 1533-position model. The record is from RNAcentral.
UGCAAGUCGAGCGAGAAGGGUGUAGCAAUACACUUGUAAAGCGGCGAACGGGUGAGGAAUGCAUGGGUAACCUACCCUCGAGUGGGGAAUAACUAGCCGAAAGGUUAGCUAAUACCGCAUACGUUUCCGGAACUUCGGUUUCGGAAAGAAAGCAAUACCGUGGGUAUUGCGCUCCUGGAUGGGCUCAUGUCCUAUCAGCUUGUUGGUGAGGUAAACGGCUCACCCAAGGCUUCGACGGGUAGCUGGUCUGAGAGGACGAUCAGCCACACUGGCACUGCGACACGGGCCAGACUCCUACGGGAGGCAGCAGUAAGGAAUAUUGCGCAAUGGACGAAAGUCUGACGCAGCGACGCCGCGUGGGGGAUGAAGGUCUUCGGAUUGUAAACCCCUUUCGGGAGGGAAGAUGGAGUGGGUAACCACUUGGACGGUACCUCCAGAAGCAGCCACGGCUAACUUCGUG